UACGUAGGUGGCAAGCGUUGUCCGGAUUUACUGGGCGUAAAGAGCGCGCAGGCGGUCGUUCAAGUCGCGUGUGAAAGCCCCCGGCUCAACUGGGGAGGGUCACGCGAUACUGAUCGACUCGAAGGCAGGAGAGGGAAGUGGAAUUCCCGGUGUAGUGGUGAAAUGCGUAGAUAUCGGGAGGAACACCAGUGGCGAAGGCGACUUCCUGGCCUGUUCUUGACGCUGAGGCGCGAAAGUUAGGGGAGCAAACGGG
RNAcentral lists this ribosomal RNA (253 nucleotides) under uncultured bacterium. Its description in RNAcentral is "partial 16S ribosomal RNA". It matches the Rfam family "Bacterial small subunit ribosomal RNA", at positions 524 to 776 of the family's 1533-position model. The record is from RNAcentral.